RNAcentral lists this long non-coding RNA (595 nucleotides) under Capra hircus (goat). RNAcentral describes it as "lncRNA (ENSCHIG00000007643.1)". The record is from RNAcentral. Lineage: Eukaryota; Metazoa; Chordata; Mammalia; Artiodactyla; Bovidae.
CGGGGAUGGACAGAGAAGAAACACCCCAACUUCUCUCCCACUGCGGGCUCCUGGGUAGUUCUCACUGACUGAUCACAACAGAGCAUGGAGCACGAGGCAGCCCAGGUGAUGUGAUUGUUUGGGACCACAGCCCUCCCAGGUGCAGAGCAAGGCAGGGAAGGGAUUUGAGGGCAGAGCAAAUGGAGAUGAACUAACACACACAGCUUGCAAACAGCUUUGCCCCCAAAUCCAUCAGAACACGCUGGUGUCGCUGGUGUGAGAUAGACACUGCUCUUCUCUCCGUGCGGCUUUGUGGCCCCCACCUCCCGACCUGGGAAACCAUCCAGAAGCGGUUGCUACUGGGACACCUGCUGUCACUACCACCUCCCAUUGUAUGAAACAGGAAUCCUGAAGCUCUCAGAAAUGGGACGAGGUCUGGCCCUUACUCCAGAGUGGUUGCUGUCCCUUCUCUUCACCUGAUUUCCUAGUGGCAGUGUUGAACUUGUCUUCUGUGGAGCAUAGCCAUCACAAGGAAGCCUCUCUACAUUCUGGUUUGCCUGGGUGAAGAGGCUUCAAAGUCAGGAAAUCCAGGUGAGUUUCAAGGAGCCGUGUACGG